Non-coding RNA from Meleagris gallopavo (turkey), 9137 nucleotides. The record is from RefSeq and is a predicted model, not a curated record. Lineage: Eukaryota; Metazoa; Chordata; Aves; Galliformes; Phasianidae.
UAGGGCAGAGCACACCCACUGCACCUGCAGGAGCUGCCCCCAGGCAGCCAGCCUUGCCACCUCUUCUGCCACAGGAUCCUGCUUCCAUCACCUGCUGAAACGAGCAAGAGGUGUCCUCCUGUCUCCAUCAGAAAGAUUUCCAUCCCAAAACCACAAAGCAAGCAGCUGGAAGUGCAGGAAGAGAACAUGGAAGGAGAUUGACAUCUGUUUUCCAUUCACCUCCCUGAAGCAGUUCUUCUUCCAACUCCAGGUCUAGCUCAGCAGCAUACCAAGCUCUUUCACCGUUGGAGUCUGGAGGAAACAAGGAUCAAUUUCAAUUUCCUUUAAUGCACCUGCCUCUAAUUCAUGGCAGCUCAGCAGCUGUUCCUGAGCAGCUGUGGUACCUCUGCUGUGGAGGCAGGAACCUUGGAGAGAAGGGCAGGGCUCAUUCCUGGCUGAAGUCAAAGGCACAAGGUGCUGGCUGACACUGAGAUACCAAACUAGAGGCUGGUACACCCACCAGAUCCGAUGUCUCUAGGAGAUUGUGCAGGUCCAAGCAGCAGCACAAAGCACCAUGAAGUCAAAUGUAACAUUAAAAAUGCAUUCAGCAUAGUCAGUGUAUCUUUCUACCUAGAUUCCCUUGAAAAUCAUAGCUCAUCUGGGACAAGUAUGACUCCAUCUGCUGCACAUACACCUUUGCACAUACAACUUUGGAUCCCUGGUACCUUUUGAAAUUCAGGUCAUAUAUACUUGAAAUCAGGUCUUCCUGAAACUUUAUCUGGGAGCAGUAAGGUCUCCACACAGCAUUUCUGCUACUUUCCUGAGCUAUGGAAGGACCGACACCAGCAAAGAUGAACAACACUUGAGUAUUGCCGCCUAUGAUACAAUCAACAGAGCCCCACAGCGCUGAUGUUUGGAUCAUUUGGUGCCCAGUUAUGCCCUCCCCGAGUUCACAAGAGUUUGUGAUGGGGCAUGUUCAGGCUUCCAGUGUAUGAGAAAUAAUGCUAAUGAUAUUAUAUGUUUUGCCUGCAUUUCGGUCUGGUGCUUAGAAAAUAAACAUCUUGGCUUUGCCUCAGUGUUUAUCUUCAAUAAAUACCUCAGCUUUGCCUCAACAAUUAUCUCUUCACAGCAGACGAUUAUCCAGCAGCAACAUAUAAUUCCAUUAACAUUACCAUUUAAAAUAUAUCCUCUCUGUACCACAGAAAGGAGCUGUCUGUGGGAAAUGUCAGGGGCCCAUGUAUUUUUGGAAUUAAAAUUAAAUCAUUUGGGCUAUUUUUUAAUCCUCCUAGUUUUUGUUUUCCUAUUUCUUGUUUUGCAAAAUACUUGUUCUCUGUAGCUUAUGAGAAGAUUGCAAGUGGAGAAACUUGGAAGGUGCCCAGGGAAAGCAAAUUUCAGGGCAAUUGCAUGCCAAGGACUCCUGCAGGGGAUAACUGAUAAAGGUCCAACAUGUCAUCUGAACCUGCUUAGAACUGACAAUAGAACUUAAGGAGCAGGUUUUUUUAUUGGGCUUUUUUGUAACUCUGAAGGAAGAGCUAUGAGAACCUCCUAGUGAUAGCUGUUAAACAUUAACAUCAUGUUGACAUUUAAAUCAGAUUGCACAUAAGCCAGCAAGACACCUAGAAGGAAACAAGCUGUUUAAAGAAAAAAAACCUCUCAGUAAUUUAGGAGUAGUGUAGGUGCACUGUGGGAGGGGCCAGUGCCAGAAACAUAUUGCUCUGUGCAAACAGCCAACACAGCAGCAUCUGGAAGGUAACAGCCCCUGUUAUGCACAAGUCCUUUUGUCCUCUGCAUACUGCAUUGAGCCAACCAGGCAGUUAGCACUUAGCAAAUAUGCUGUAGGGCAAAUUAAAUGGGAGAGGAUCUGUUCUCAUGUACAUCAGUAUAAGUCUAGAGGAACUCUAUUAAAUUUGCAGAAGUAAAUGAGAUGAGAACCUGGCUCGUUGGGUUAAUGGCCAGUUAAAUGCUGGCAAAGAUCUCAAACAGUAGGAUCUCUCUGAGGGAAAAAAUUGCAGUGAUGAGAUGUGACUGAAGAGGAAUGCACUGUGGCAGAACUGGGCAAAAAGAGUCCAGGUGUGGAUGGAAACAAUACCUGGAAUCUGCAAAGAAAUCCUCUGUAGCAAAGUCCAGUAAAGGAUACAGGUUUCUACGGGUUAAAAAAAGGAGGUGGAAGGAAAGGAAGAGAAGGGUAACUUGAGCUGUUUGAGAACCUUGCAACCUAGCCUGCCAUUUCCCACACUCAUGCAGUAUCUUGCUGUUGGAUCUCAGCAUUUCUGAGUUUCCGCACAGCUCAAAGUCACCAUUAUUUCACAUGUCCUGAAGCCAGUAUGGCUGUGUGGCAUCCCAGCAUGAAGAUCUGAGGGAGCUUCAUACAAAGCACCACAAACAUGGCCUUGUGCCUUCUGAGGGCACCCAAUAUUUCCUGGAAUAACCAGUAGCACACUUUACUCAGCCUUUGGGAUCCAAUAUGGAUGACACAAGCCUACAGGAGGAGCAUCUCCCAAAGCAAAGACCCAUCUCUGCCAUCAUCCAUCAUUAGCUAGCAAUAUUUUUGUACUGCUGAAGUGUGGUUCUGGGAAGGUGAGGGUAGAGGCUGCUCAGAGGCCUCAGUUAUGGCAGGACCAGGAGUUUCAUGUGGUUCUGUAGAAAGGCUCCCUGCAGGAUCAUCUCUAGAGAUGUUCUCUACCUCCUCCAGCAGCAGUGAGACAAAUGACAGUGUAAGCUGGGUUGAAGUAAGUGUACAGGCCACUAGCAUGACUGAACAGGCCUGGCAAAUUUGGCACUUGCUCAUUAGGAUACAUGAGUCACAGGCUUCCUCCAUAGCCCUCUUAUCUUCACUAAGCAGCCAAAAUUAAAGUAAAUCUAAAAAAUGUGACUUAGCUCCAUGGUUCAGGUGCUCAGGUGGGAGAGGAUGGUCUUUGCUCCUAUUCUUCUUACGUAUUUCAUCUAAUGUGAAAUGCAUGAAUAGCCCUGAGAGUAGGGACAGAAGUAAAAUCAUAUGAACUGGUGGAGUGGUCAACAAUGAAGAAAUCAGGUCCCUGAAAAGGAUCAACUGACAUUAUUGGCAAGCUGCGCACAAGGAAAUAAUUUUUAAUAUGAACUUCAGGACAGCCAAAAGUAAGAUCAUGUAUCAGGGCACAUUUUGAAGGGCAACAACACAGGUUCAAGGAGGUGUUAGAAGCAGUGACUCUGCAGGUGGCCAAAGCAGAAAACUAAACAAAAGGAGAUUUUUGUGAAAGUACUAGAGGAAUCCUUGUGUGGGAACUCUGGAUGUUGAGGAUAAAGUCUUUAACUGGUCAUGGUUUAAAAGUGUGCUGGCCUCAUGUGUACAACACAAGAAGAACAUUAAUAGAUUGAGGGACUUCAGAAAAGAAUUCCCAUAAAUGACUGAGGAUUGGAAAAUGUGUUUCACAGCAAGAGUUUCCAAAAGCUGAAGAUCUCCUCUAGAGCAAAGAGAAUGGUUCAGAUAGGUGCAAUACGGGACAAUCUGCAUUUCAAGAAAACUUUGGAAUUGAGCUCUUACACACAUCUAUCUAGAUAACCUGCCUUGGAAAUAAAGCAAGCUGUUUCAACAGAGCAGAAAUUAACUGCUGGAACAAUUUAGUUGGAGUGGAAGUAGAUUCUUCGUCACUGGAAGUGGUUAAACUAAACUUGGCUGUUUUACUCAAAGAAAAGCAAUAAUUUGAACAGGAAUUAUUGUAGGGAAACCCUUUGGUCUGUUUUAUAGAGAAGGUCAUGCAAGAUGUUUCAUUCUGGCCAUCAGUCAAUGAAAACAAGCUCAACCUGUGACCUGCUUCUCCUCUAUCCUCCAUUUCUCAUCACAAGACCUGUAAGAAGUAGAAGGGAAAUGAAGCAUCUCCAGCAUUGCCUUUUGCCUUCCUGAGAUGGAGAACCCCAGGAACUCCAAAAGGGGGAGAGAGAAAUGGGCAAGAAGUCUUAACUGCAGGAACUGAGCCUGAAAAUUCAGGAAUUAAUAGCAUAUUUCUUGGGGUUGCAUAACUAUAAUUAUUGAGCAAGAGAAGAGAGCAGAUGUGGGCUCAUAGGAUGUAGGAUAAAUUCAUUAGAAAUGAAGAGUCUGGUGGCCAGCUGGAAACUUCUUAGUCUCUGGAGGCCAGAGAGAGCUCUUCCAGAAGAGGGUAUCAUUCUCUGUCCACCUAAAAAAACUAGCAACGCUUACUGCCUGCCUUUCUUUAUACAUACACAAGAGAAAGAAGUAAAGGAAGAAAGGAAGAAUGGAAGAAAGGAAGAAAGGAGGAAAGAAACAGCCCUUUUUGAACUAUCUCAUGGUACUAAGAUUAUUCCAUAGUUUGAAGAGUUCUGAUUUUUCUCCCUUUCUGGCAUCAUGAGUACUGUGCAAGAUCCAAACCCUACAAGGCAUUCAGUGGCCCCCUCAGACAGCUUUCCUGAGCAUGUUAUCUCAUGCCUUUGUGAAUGUAUCCACUAAGGAUGCUGCAAUGACCUCUCUUGGCAAGCCAUCCAUGUAUCAAAUUGCAGGCAUGUCUUUUUUCACAAGCUGCUCUUUACAUAGUGUCUGCCAGGAGACCCAAAGAGAAAUCAGCUCAAAAACCUUUGCUGCUAAUUGUCUGAAACGUAAAGUCAGAAUGUUACCUAUCUGGAAAAAAAAUCCUCUACUCACUUUUUUAGUGUUAAUAUAUCAUCAGUAUAACAGUUCAGCCAAUAAAAUUUGUCAAAGAGCCAGACGAGAUUAAACAUAAAAUAUUUGAUUUCUGAGUACUCAAAUCUCCUGCUUCUCUAAAGAAUAGCACUUAGUUAGAGUCAUCUUAAGUGCAUUAGCCUCCCUUGACAACAAUUGUAUAAAUCCCAUCACAAAAUUAGGAUACAAUCCUAUGAUGCUUACACAAACUGAAAGCUCAUGCCAGUAUUUACUUCUCUGACUUCUCUGUUGUUUAUCCCGGGUAGAAGACGUAUUUCAGCUAUCUGAAUGUGAACUCCAGGCUUUCUCACAGUGUUCCUCUCAGCAUCCCCACCCUGACCUGAAGGAAGUACUUGUACUUACAUCUUUAGGACGCUGUACAAGUCAUGAUAGUGGUGCAACAUGCAGCUCCACCUACCUGUGACUGGACAGGUAGAUAAGGAAUCUAGCCCAUGCUCCCAUCUGAAUAAAGAAAAGCUCCCUAAUAGGAAGGAUAAUGAAGCACUGGAACAGGUUGCCUCAGGCACUGGUGAAGUCUCCAUCUAGUCUUUAAGAACUGGUUAGACGAGCAUUUGUCAGGAACAAUAUAUGUGCAGUUCAUUUUGCUUUCCAACCCUAUUUUUCUAGAUUUAGGAUCAAAUUCUGACCCUGAAGAACUGUUAUGAGCAUUAUGUCUGUUCCCUACAUCCUGGGAAGCUAACAAGACUGUACGGCCCGUAUCUACUAUUGUCCUGCUACUGGAGUCAUUGGUCUUGAUGGGCAUUUGGAUCAUCAAAUCCCAAAGCAAGCAGCAGCUUCCAGACUUUCAUAAUUUGCAUUAUUUUUAGGCCAUUGCACAGUCCUCAUGACUGAUCUGCGUGGAGUGUCUUUGCUGUAAACCCUGAGGGAGAGGAGAGAAAGGGUUCAUGAAGACAUAAUUUCCAAAGGUGAUAAGCUUGCAUCUGUUUUGAGCUGUAAAAUGGCACUUGUUGUGAAAUCCUCUCAGAGCAUACCUUAUAAAUGCCAAACAAGCACAACACCAAAAGCACAUAAAGAAAUAAUUGAAAGGCUCUGGAGGGAAGCCAAGAGGACGUGGCUGAUGUUUCACCUAACCUCACCCCCUCGCUAGCUCUCGCCCGGCAGCCCUGCCUGCAUGAUGUGAGCCUCGGAGCUGCAGCAGGCAGCUGCUUCUUGACUGUGCACACUGUCUGACCUACUGGCAGCAGGACAAGAAAAACAAAGAGGCUACAAACAUAAAACAGAGAGAGAUUAGGAACUGUGUGGCCGGGAGUACUUUCACAACGGUGCCUGAGCCAGGCCCAGAAGGCCCAGCUUGGACCUCUGCCAGCCAUCCACCACAGCGCCUGCUCCAGCAGGUCCCCUUGUCCUGUCAGGGGAGGCCCAGCUUGGAGGUAUCUGAAGUGCCUCCUGGCCCUAUGUUUGGUGGUUCAGCCCUGUCAGGCUAGAGUUAACAGGAAGAACUUGUCAUCAGAUUUGCCAGGCUUUUUCCCACUUUGAUUCCCCAGCCUCCAGCCGCUUGGCCUUUAUAUGCACAGAGUCAUUUACCUCCUCCUUUGCACCCCCCACAUACCUUUCCUUUGCACAGGACAGUUUAUUCUUCAACAAUCUGUAUUAAAACUAAUUAUCCCAUGAUCUUUUAAUUACUUCCAGUUGUGUACUUACUGUGUAAGUUAUUACCAUGAACAAAGGAUGACAAGGACACAAAAACUGCAGAGCCUGACCUGUCAGUAUGCUGACCUGCUAGCAUGCUGUUUCCAUGUAACCUGGAAGGGUUACAUGAAAAACCAAGCUGACAAACCUGACAUGCUAAGAGAAGCCAAGCUAUCCUGUAGCAGGAAUUUGGGCUCAGUGGAAGUGAACAGUGUUAAUUAUUGAUUGAUCAUAUUCAGCUGUGUUCAAGUUAAGUGUUUAAGACUGAUCUUUUAUUUGGCUUUACAAUAUAAACUGUGCUAAUGGGGCAGUGAAGCCACAAAGCUUUACAGUGGAUUUAGAAAAAUUCUUCAUGUUAACAUCAGCCUAAGUGACAAAAGUAUUCCAGAUCCUAAAUGAAAAGAAACAAGUCAUAAUUUUUUACUAGGUGCAGUCAAAAAACCUGGAGUUCCAGUCAUAAAUCAGCAGAACCAUGGUCUCCUGACGCAAGCAGUAGCAGAGCAGCAAAGCUGUUGCUGAAUGGCAGUGAAACAGAAGCAAAUAUCAGAGACUGGGAGGGGGCUGAAAGCAAGUGUGAUUCUCCUUGCUAAGAAUGUGAGAGCCAAUGAGGAAGACCUAAAAAUGAAUGCACAGUUUGGCCAAAACCAGAUACAAAAUUAAAAUCAACUGGAUUUCAGAAGAUUUGGUUUUGUUUGUUUAUUUGUUUACUAGACUUAUUUUUAAUCUGGCUGUUUUUCAUUUUGGUUAGUUUCAUUUUGAGGCCAAAGUGAUGAAACACAACAAGAAAGGAAGCUCUUGUGGUUUUUCAGAGCCUUCCAGAAGCAGAGUAAUGGAAAACCAAUAACAAGCAGGAAGGACUGGAAAGCAUGUGAGAUUUCUCCUACAGAAUCUGUUGAGUUCACAGAAUAGUUAAGGUUGGAAGGGAUCUCUGAAGGUGCCAUACAGCAUAUUUCUUGAGGCUGUGCAGCCUAGCACAGGGACAGGAAGACAUGGUAAACUCGGAGAGUACCAAAAUUGGAUUACUUUUGGAAGUGUACUGAUCCAUUUAUUCCCCUUCCAUUCCAACCAACCCUUUAUGCUCCUUCAAAGAUCUUUAGUUCUAGUCCUCCAUCAGUCACAGGACUCACUUCAUGUAUGGCCAGCAAUGGCUGGUGAUGAGUUCCUAUGCUCUCUUCCCUGGGAAGGUCAUGCACUUCCUGAACUUAAUUAACACUGGUCAGAGAUUGCAUUAGCAGUGUGCAAGCUUAGGCCAAAUUCCCAAACACUGUAGAACUAACUUUUUUCCUUCCUCUUCUCAGUAAAAAGUUGUCAGCUCCAGGGAAAGUGCAUAGCCUAGCUCUAGCUGGUGUCUUAUUUGUUUCUCCUUACAUAGUAACUCCUAUUGCAAAAAUAUGCAUGUGUCUACCAUUCCAUUUAUCUAAUUGCAUUUCAAGUUUGUUUUACAGGCUAGUCCAGACAGACUUUUGAACAUAGUUAAAAUUAUUCUCAUACAAUCAUUGUGCACAAACGUAAAGAAGAGUGAAUUAACUCUGAACAUUGAACAGACUACUUGUUCAACUGAAAUACUCAGCAAACACUGGCAAAGGAAACAAUUGGUUCCUAAAAGUUCAACACUUGCUCCCAUCUGCUCUGGAUGGAAAAACUCAAGAACAUAAUUUCUGAGACCACCCAAAUUCACAGAGUGAAAAUGCAGAGUGGAAUUGUCAACUUUCUUGUGACUUUAUAUUAUGCUCUUUGGAAUCUCGUUGUUUUGACUAUAAAUGCAGAAGAAGAUAAAGCAAUUGGAAAAAAGUGAUUAGAUGUAUAACAAUGGUUCAAGAAUUGAAGAAGAAUAAAAUUCCAAUUUGCAAAAGCUGAGCAAGGGAAAAAAGAAAGCAAGCAUAUUGCUGUGACCACAUUAUGUCAAGAAUAGGAGAGCUAUUCUGAGCUAUGACAUUACUUCAGUGAAGAAGAGACAUUAUCCUUCAUCUGUAGGGAAAAAAAAAAACAAUUGAAGAAAUCUCAAGUUACAGUGUACCUUCCUAAACGCACCAGUGCGUGCUUUUGCAAAAUAUAUGCAAAAAUAUUCCAUCUGCUGGGCUGCAUGCCGACACUUCUUGUCUUCUAGGACUCAGUCUCUCCACUCAGUCAGGACGACUGCACCUCCAUCAAGUAAAUCAAAGGGAAAUCACCACAGUAGAAGAUAAUUUUCAUUUGAGUUAACUGGAGUGCUAGCCGAAUGUAAAAAAAUCAUCCCCUCUCAAAGGCUCAGACAUACUAUCUUUUCUAGCAAUGUUUCCCCAAAUCAAACUUAUUAACUCAUAAUAAUGAAGUAUUGUAAACAGUUUAAUACCACUGAACUCUUUUAGAAAUUGUUUAAUGUGCUGGUUGUGGUUUGGUUUGGUUUGGUUUGGUUCAGUUUGGUUUACUUUGGGUUGUGAGAGUUUUUCUCUGCUGAUUUUCAUGAUGAAAGGCAUGAAUCUGAUCUUGGUUCCGUGCUGUGGUACUGGAGAUUUGCACCACUGAGCAGUUCUCAUACAGAAGGGAUAAUUAGUGAACACACAGCCAUGAAAAAAUAAGCCAGGAAAGCACGGUUAUUAUAUGUAUAAGAUGAGAACACAAUUUGAGAAGACUUGAGAAUACAUAUUUUUGAAAAUUGGAUAUAGCAAGACCAACUGCUGCUUUCUCUCAUGCGCCUCAUUUUAGUACAUCAGGCAAGUAUACAGCAAGAAUGAAGAAUACUUAAACUAAUAAGCAACUCUGUCCUGAAACCAAACAAAUGGAAUUUGGAAGAUUUUAUGUCACGCAAGUGAAAUACUGGAACAACCCAUCAUUAGGAGCAGAGAGAAGAAAAAUCCUAUCCAAAUCAGAGAUGAAG